UACGUAGGGGGCAAGCGUUGUCCGGAAUCAUUGGGCGUAAAGAGCGCGUAGGCGGCCCUGUAAGUCCGCUGUGAAAGUCAAGGGCUCAACCCUUGGAUGCCGGUGGAUACUGCAGGGCUAGAGUCCGGAAGAGGCGAGUGGAAUUCCUGGUGUAGCGGUGAAAUGCGCAGAUAUCAGGAGGAACACCGAUGGCGAAGGCAGCUCGCUGGGACGGUACUGACGCUGAUAGCGCGAAAGCCAGGGGAGCAAACGGG
Molecule: ribosomal RNA, 254 nt
Filed under: uncultured bacterium
Lineage: Bacteria
Description: partial 16S ribosomal RNA
Rfam family: Bacterial small subunit ribosomal RNA
Source: RNAcentral